AGAGAGAGACAUGCGCGCAUAUCAAUAAGCGGAGGAAAAGAAACUAACAAGGAUUCCCCUAGUAACGGCGAGUGAAGCGGGAAGAGCUCAAAUUUGAAAUCUUAAAGGGUUUCCCUUUACGAAUUGUAGUUUAAAGAAGUGUUUUCUGUUGAGGUUUUGGUAAAAGUUCUUUGGAAUAGGACAUCAUAGAGGGUGAGAAUCCCGUAUUUGACCUUUACUUUCAACUUUGUGAUACACUUUCAAAGAGUCGGAUUGUUUGGGAAUGCAGUCCAAAAUGGGUGGUAAAUUUCAUCUAAAGCUAAAUAUUGGCGAGAGACCGAUAGCGAACAAGUACCGUGAGGGAAAGAUGAAAAGAACUUUGAAAAGAGAGUUAAACAGUACGUGAAAUUGUCAAAAGGGAAGCGUUUGACACCAGUGUUGUUUUUCUGAAAAUCAAUUAAAGAACUGUUUAUGCUAAGUUGUUUAGACUUUAUCAUGCUAACUGUUUAGUUUUGAGCUUUUCUUUAAUGCACUUUUCAGUUAACAAGUCAACAUCAAUUUCUUUUGCUGUAAAAAAGCUUGAGGAAGGUGGCUUGAGAUUCGUCUUAAGUGUUUAUAGCCUCUUGCCUAUGCAGUCGGAGAGAUUGAGGUCUGCAGCGUAGAUCCUUCGGGGCUAAAUGCAUUUGUGCUAAGGUUAUAGCAUUUUAUAGACAACUUGUUGACUAUGAUUUGUCUUGUAGCUUACUCGCUUAUGUUAUUUUACCUACGCUUAGGAUGUUGAGCGCAUGUCUCUCUCU
Molecule: ribosomal RNA, 776 nt
Filed under: uncultured Neocallimastigales
Lineage: Eukaryota; Fungi; Neocallimastigomycota; Neocallimastigomycetes; Neocallimastigales
Description: partial large subunit ribosomal RNA
Rfam family: Eukaryotic large subunit ribosomal RNA
Source: RNAcentral